Molecule: ribosomal RNA, 253 nt
Filed under: uncultured bacterium
Lineage: Bacteria
Description: partial 16S ribosomal RNA
Rfam family: Bacterial small subunit ribosomal RNA
Source: RNAcentral
GACGCAGGGCGCGAGCGUUGUCCGGAUUUAUUGGGCGUAAAGAGCUCGUAGGCGGCAUGUCGCGUCGUCCGUGAAAACCCACAGCUCAACUGUGGGCUUGCGGUCGAUACGGGCAGGCUAGAGUUCGGUAGGGGAGACUGGAAUUCCUGGUGUAGCGGUGAAAUGCGCAGAUAUCAGGAGGAACACCGGUGGCGAAGGCGGGUCUCUGGGCCGAUACUGACGCUGAGGAGCGAAAGCGUGGGGAGCGAACAGG